CAGAGAAUAGUUUAAUAAAAUAUUAAUUUUGGAGAUUAAUGAUAGAAAUUAAGAUUUCUUUCUCUGA
This 67-nucleotide transfer RNA is filed under the name Staphylinidae sp. BMNH 1274232. RNAcentral describes it as "tRNA-Pro". Lineage: Eukaryota; Metazoa; Arthropoda; Insecta; Coleoptera; Staphylinidae. The record is from RNAcentral.